AUAUCUUUCUUAGCAUUUUGGCUAGAUAAAGUGCAAUAUCUAUAGUUUAAUAUCUGGUAUGUGGGUCAUAUGUCCACUUCAGUUUAAAAUUUAUUUUUGUAGAGGGUCCACUUUAAUUUUAAAUUUUUUUUGUGGGAGGGUCCACUUUAAUUUACACUUGCUUGCCAUUGGACUCUCAAAUA
This 182-nucleotide small nuclear RNA is filed under the name Zea mays. RNAcentral's name for it is "U2 spliceosomal RNA". It matches the Rfam family "U2 spliceosomal RNA". Rfam says of the family: U2 is a small nuclear RNA (snRNA) component of the spliceosome (involved in pre-mRNA splicing). Lineage: Eukaryota; Viridiplantae; Streptophyta; Magnoliopsida; Poales; Poaceae. The record is from Rfam by way of RNAcentral.